UGCCUUUGUGUUGCCCAUUUGCUAUUUUCUCCAGUGAAUGUGGUGUCAGAAAAGGCAUACAAUAACUCUAGCUGAUCUGAGUUCAAGAGCUAGUUAUUAGACCUUCCUCAGCACUGCAGCUAGAACAUGC
Small nucleolar RNA from Hemicordylus capensis (graceful crag lizard), 130 nucleotides. RefSeq annotates it as small nucleolar RNA SNORA13. The record is from RefSeq and is a predicted model, not a curated record. The transcript has a single exon. Lineage: Eukaryota; Metazoa; Chordata; Lepidosauria; Squamata; Cordylidae.